Molecule: ribosomal RNA, 253 nt
Filed under: uncultured bacterium
Lineage: Bacteria
Description: partial 16S ribosomal RNA
Rfam family: Bacterial small subunit ribosomal RNA
Source: RNAcentral
UACGUAGGGGGCUAGCGUUGUCCGGAUUUACUGGGCGUAAAGGGCGCGUAGGCGGCUUUGUAAGUUAGAGGUGAAAGCCCGGGGCUCAACUCCGGAACUGCCUUUAAGACUGCAUCGCUUGAAUCCAGGAGAGGUGAGUGGAAUUCCGAGUGUAGAGGUGAAAUUCGUAGAUAUUCGGAAGAACACCAGUGGCGAAGGCGGCUCACUGGACUGGUAUUGACGCUGAGGUGCGAAAGCGUGGGGAGCAAACAGG